UAGGGAAUCUUCCACAAUGGACGAAAGUCUGAUGGAGCAACGCCGCGUGAGUGAAGAAGGUUUUCGGAUCGUAAAGCUCUGUUGUUGGUGAAGAGGAUAGAGGCAGUAACUGGUCUCUAUUUGACGGUAAUCAACCAGAAAGUCACGGCUAACUACGUGCCAG
This 163-nucleotide ribosomal RNA is filed under the name uncultured bacterium. RNAcentral's name for it is "partial 16S rRNA". It matches the Rfam family "Bacterial small subunit ribosomal RNA", at positions 355 to 511 of the family's 1533-position model. The record is from RNAcentral.